GAACACCCUACCAGAACCCUACUAAAAC
Molecule: small RNA, 28 nt
Filed under: Bombyx mori (domestic silkworm)
Lineage: Eukaryota; Metazoa; Arthropoda; Insecta; Lepidoptera; Bombycidae
Description: ovarian small RNA-15117
Source: RNAcentral